Nyctereutes procyonoides (raccoon dog) is the source of this 852-nucleotide long non-coding RNA. RefSeq lists it as uncharacterized. NCBI's taxonomy places the organism in Eukaryota, Metazoa, Chordata, Mammalia, Carnivora, Canidae. The transcript has 3 exons. The record is from RefSeq and is a predicted model, not a curated record.
CUUGGUCUGGGGCAGGCUCACUGUAACUCUCUCUCUCCACCAGAGGAGAUAAAAAACGAAAAAUGCAAAUAGGAGAUCCAGCAGGGACGUGAACACCGCUCAGUGAGAAAGGGAACCGAACACCCAGGUGACUGGGAUCAACUUUAGAAACUGGCCUUCACUGAGCAGGACCAGGGAGGAGAGUGACUGGCAGGAAAUCUGCUCCUGUCUCCCAUCAGCCUACCUUCUGCUCUGCAGAUAAGGAAGCUGAGGCUCAGAAAGCUACAAAAAGCUUGCUUCGGGUCACCAGGCCACUGUGUGGUGGAGCUGGCACUUGACGCUAAACACACCUUCAUCGCAGACCUAUUAUCGAGUGCUAGGUUAGGCUCCGGAAGAUGCAAAUCUUGGAAAGCUCUGGAAGCCACAGUCUGAAUGGUUUACCAGUGGGCAAUUUGGACAACUGAGGGCAUGUCACAGGAGGUUUUCAGUUGCUGGGUGUCCCAUAAGGCAGGGGUGACCUUAUCCCCGUCUCCCUGGGUCUGUCCAACUCUGUCCUUUCAGGAGGUCCUCAUCCUGGGGAGGAGGGGCCUGGAAAGGAAUGAGGGCACCUGGCUGGGGCUUCUGUUUGUGAAUAUAGAAAUCCUGCUUGUCUUCAAGAGUCCCAACGUCCCUAUGCUGGGUUAACGGUCCCAGCUGAGGGCUCCCCAGCACUGUGAGCUGACCUUGAACAUGGCAGUUGUCUCUUGAUGUGAAGGUUUCCUUUAGUCUGUUUGUCUCCCUCUUUACACUUGAUCUUAGACAAGAGGCCAAGAAGGGAUUGUCUCCCUCUUUAGAUGGUCUUCUCCCUCUGGCCAAGGGCCCCAUCCUAUUUAU